GACCUCAAAUCAGGUAAGAAUACCCGCUGAACUUAAGCAUAUCAAUAAGCGGAGGAAAAGAAAAUAACAAUGAUUCCCUCAGUAACGGCGAGCGAAGAGGGAUAAGCUCAAAUUUUAAAUCUGUUGGGUUCCACUUAACAGAGUUGUAUUUUGAAGAAACGUUUUCUGCAUCCAGGAUUAGCCUAAAUCCUUUGGGAUAAGGUAUCAUGGAGGGUGAGAAUCCCGUUCAUGGUUAAUCUUAAGGAAGCUCUACGAUACGUUUUCCAAGAGUCGAGUUGUUUGGGAUUGCAGCUCAAAAUGGGAGGUAAAUUUCUCCUAAGGCUAAAUAUUGGCGAGAGACCGAUAGCGAACAAGUACCGUGAGGGAAAGAUGAAAAGAACUUUGAAAAGAGAGUUAAACAGUACGUGAAAUUGUUGAAAGGGAAACGAUUGAAGUCAGUCAUACCAACGGGAAAUCAACCUUUUGAGCUCGGUCUCGUGGGUUUUGAAGAGUUUCAAAGCCUUCGGAUUCGCGGGAUUGGGAUCUCUUGGUGUACUUUUUCGUACGGUUAGUCAACAUCGGUUUUGAAUGUCAUAAAAUGACUGGAGGAAUGUAGCUUCGAUCUCGUAUUGAAGUGUUAUAGCCUUUGGUAGAUGUGAUGUUUGAGACCGAGGAUUGCAACGGAUACCCUUCAGGGCUAUUCGUCUGAUCUCUGAUACGUUGCCUUGAUGUUGAAAGCUUGCUUAUGAUGUUAGGGUAUUACGGUCAAAAGGUUAGAACGGAUUAGAUUCGUUAAGGAUGUUGACGUAAUGACUUUAAACGACCCGUCUUGAAACACGGACCAAGGAGUCUAACAUAUAUGCGAGUGUUUGGGUGAUUAAACCCUUGCGCGUAAUGAAAGUAAUUUUGGUGAGAUCCGGGAAAAAAUUUUCGGAGCAUCAUCGACCGAUCAGGAUAUUUUUUGAUAGAUUUGAGUAAGAGCA
Molecule: ribosomal RNA, 962 nt
Filed under: Funneliformis mosseae
Lineage: Eukaryota; Fungi; Glomeromycota; Glomeromycetes; Glomerales; Glomeraceae
Description: eukaryotic LSU rRNA
Rfam family: Eukaryotic large subunit ribosomal RNA
Source: RNAcentral